UAGGUUAGAGUUGUAGUAUAGGUGUAAGCGUGGUGCUUAGACCUAGAUUACUUGUGAAUAUCCCCUGUCUAGCUGGAUCGUGUGGUAGGCCGCGUAGGUGACAGUUACGUUGGUCCCCUGUAGUCCACCUCUUGUUAGCAGGACGGGUAGGGUUUAUCGGCCUAUGGAUAAGCAUCCUUUGUGGUGUAUUCUUAUCACGUGGUUCGUCCUAGACAUAGCCAUACCCCUUUGAAGUAGAGAAACCAUAGUUAUCCUCUCUAUUCUGCUACCACCGCCAAUAUACUAGAUUGCUCUACUCUCUAUUCCCAUAUUAUCACCCAUUGUUAUCUUACCUUUAAUAUUGUUCUUAUUUAAUUCUACCAUCUUUCCUAUUUACACUUAUCUAUCUAUCUUGGUUAAGUUAGAGCGUAGUUGGUUCUCCUGUUUCCCUGUGGAUACGAUAAAACCUUUAACCGGGUAAAAGCUACAACGGUAUCCGUGCGCUUGCGGAUUUAUCUGUGUGCGUAUAAAUACCAUAGUACACUCUAGUGCCAUGCUGGGGAUGAUAACCUAGUAUUCAAGUGGUGUUAGCAAGUGUCAACAAGCAUUUUUGGCGCCGUUGCCGGGGAAACGGUUGCUGAGUUGACUAUGAACUAGCUUAAUCAUUUUCUAAAAAAUAAAAAAAAUAUAUUUUCCUUUUAUCUUUUGCCCUAUCUCUGCUAUUCUUUCUUCUUAUCUAAUCCUUGAUCUCUGGUCUAUCAUGAAUUCAAACAUGUCUAUCUAUGAAUUUCAUAGACCUACGGGCACACAUCUCGAACCACCAAAAUCUUCAAAGCCUAUCAUAGCAUCUAGUUUUGAGAUAGAUCCCGAAUACAUAGAAUUUGUUCAAAAACAACCUUUCUCAGGAGAGGGUGAGGAAAACCAAUACACACAGCUAAGAGAGUUUUAUCGAGUCUAUGACCUCCUUCGCAUAGAAGGCAUGUCCGAUGAGACCCUGAAAUGGAAGCUCUUUCCGUUCUCGUUAACAGGAAAAGCUAGACAUUGGUACAAACUCAAAGUAGGGAGUGUUCAUGGAGUUUGGAAGGAGUUAUAUAAUAGUUUUCUUUCUAAAUAUUUUCCAAUCUCCAAGGUGGCAGAACUUUGACGUGAGAUUAUUUCUUUUACACAACUGGAAGAAGAAUCUCUUGGCAAAUCAUGGGACUGCUUUAUUAACCUUACUCUCACUGGCCCAAAGCUUUCUAUUCUAGAAGAAGUUCUUCUAAUUCACUUUUUUGUGGGCCUUAGUAGGGAAAAUAAGCAAACCUUGAAUACAGCCUCUAGAGGAUCCUUCUAUCACCUAUCUGCUAGUGAAGCUAGGGAUUUAAUUGAUUCAUUGAGUGGAAAGUUUCCUAGCAUUUAUAUCCCUGAGAAAGAGAAAGAACCAGUUCCUAGACAAGAAGAAGAAGUUUCGAUAGCCAAAUCACAACUACUUCAAUCCCAAACUUUAGCUAUCGAUCCUAAACCAACACUACCCCAAAAUUCUCCAAGGGAAGAAGGAAUUCCGACCUUAAAUCUUUCAGAUGAUGAUGGUUUAGACUUCUGGUUCCAUAAGAGACCUUCAAGCAGGGAUAAUUCAAAUCCUUGCAAUAAUGGUUCUCUUAGAGAAUGUCCUGGUUCCUGUUAUGAAGAAGUCGAGGAUGACUUAUCAAGUGAAGGAGAGCUAAGCCAUAUAGAAAAUUCUAUCUGCUCCACUUCCAUGUUCACAAAUUCUAAAUCCAUCCUUGACCUUAGAGAUCCCUCUUCUUUUUAGUCUCAUGAUGAUCCUAGCAAUUCACCAAGACGACCAAACCAUAGGAGUCAUGAAGACCAUAAGGAUGACAUAUCAAGUGAAGGAGAGCUAAGCCAUAUAGAAAAUUCUAACACCUCCCCUUUCCUGAUCACAAGUUCUAAAUGGCUAGAAUGUGUAGAAUGGAUGGAUAAGGAAGAAGCCUUAAUGGAUUCUGACUUUGGCUCAAUUUCAAAUGGUGAGUUCUUGACUCCCUUUGAAAAUGGGAUUCAUCCAACUACAGAAGAGGACAUAAGUUAGACCAAUCUAAGAGAAACUCCGAACAUUCAGAUAGGAGAUGAAGAUAACAUUAAUGAGCAUGGAAUUUAUUUCAUAGCCACUUCGUUUACUCCAUGCUCAUAUGCAACAUCUUCCCAAUCUAUUGGUCUCUCCGACAACACCACACUUGAGAUCUCCAACCCCCUCUUCCUUUCUAUUUAUAAAAACUUUAAAAGGGCGGUUGUCGAUGCAUAUGUCUAUAAUAAAUAUUGCAGAUCUCGUUGAGAUGAUCUUGAUAUAGGUCAGCGUUGGAAGGAAAACCACUUCGCCGACAUAAAUUGAUGGUUUCCCAAGGACAAGCUUAGUGUCCUAAAAUAAGCACUGAUCAGAUCGUAACAUGAGCUUUUAAUUAUUUACAACAUUACCUUGUGUAUUGAGCAUAUAAAGAUAAUUGUGAAAAUAUUCCUUUGGGUAUUCUUGUCACUAACCUUUCCAAGAUUGGAGAAAGAAGAUCGGAUGAAUGACAAGCACAAGGUAUGACCAACCAAUCAUCAUACAACAUUGAAUUAAAUUCACCCAAACUUGAAUUUUGCAAAAUUCAAGCUUGGGGGAGUACUUUACAUAAAAACAUCCUUUGCCAUGUUGCUAUGUUGGUUGUCCCUACCUUUGAGACAUGCUCAAUUUGUUAAAUACUAAUCACACUACUUCAUCUCCACUUGAGUAGAUCUCUAUAAAUGCUAUCACGCUACCUUUGUUUAUCCUAGUAAGUGUUAGUUUGGAAGUACUGCACAUACUUCUAUUGGCUUUUAAAUUAAGCAUGGUGCUUAGGUUAAACAGCCUUCCUUAAUCUGAUUAGACAUGGAGUCUAGUUUGGUUACUGAACUAAAAACUUCUUGAGUAGAUAUUGGUAUAUUUUGUCGGACUAACCCCUGCAGAAAAACUUUCAACAUCGAUUUGGGAAGUCCUAAGAUAAACUUACAUCGGAGAUGAAGAGAGACACACAUGAAGUUUAACAAUUUGCACAAUAAGGACAUAGCUCAUUCAUCAUAGAGAGAUGAUCCAUGGAAGGAGACAAAGUACAAAAACAAGAUACACAACCACUACGAAUGGGAAGCUUCCACAAGGUAAGAUGGUACCAUCACUCUUCAAUUAAGGUAACAUCUUAAGAUAUCUGAUUAUCACUUUUACCAGCUUCUCCUUUGUUCUGGCAUUCACAUAAAUAAAGAGACAAACAUGUAUGAUUUAUAACUCCAAAUUAACCAACUCAACUGAUUCAGCAUGUUUAGUCCUUUAAUCUUUGUUCCUAGUACUACCUCCAUGAUCCCACACUCCUAAUCAUAUGAGCUAAAAUGUUACACAUUUAAUCUUUGAGAGAUAUAAAGAAAAAAAAUACAUAUACAUAGAUAGGUUAUCUUUCCAUAAUGUUGAGUGAUCUGAUCUGACAAAUGUUAUAAGUACUACACUCAUGAACUUAUCACCCAUCAACUUUGUCUUGCUCACUAUGCUUAAGGUUAGAGAAGAACAAAUACACUUUUGGUUCUGUUGGUGUUUUCCACCAACAGGACCCAUGCACUUGAUCUCUGCCUUGUCUCUAUGAGCAGGUACACUUCGAGCAAAAUAUGGAGGAGUUUUAUAACUCUCAGACUCUACCAAGUAAAGGACCUGGAUCUACGAGCACAAACACACUGAGCAGGAUACUGGCAACGCCGCACUUCGAACUACUGGGCAAACGAAGAACAUGGGGUGACACCGUAUUAAGAGGUGCAGACGUCAAGGUCCGCACCUGAAUCAAAUGACGCACCUGAAGAAUGAACACGGUGAGAAGUCUUGUUCAGAAGACUUAAAACAUUGAACCCUCGCCGAAAGGUAAAAUCAGUAGUUAUCCAUAUUUAUCCUUUCUGCAUUCCCUUUUCCCUUUAAUUACUUACUUUCCUUAAAUCGUUAUUAGUUAAUCAUGCUAUCUUGAAAAGAAAAUAAAAAAUGUUAAAAAUACUAAGCCCCAUGUGAGUAUGCUCGUGGCAUAAAACCCAUAAGUACAUUCACUGUGGUGGCGUAAAAAUAAAAUAAAUAUAUUCCUGUUCUAUAGAAAUGAAAAUAUAAAAAUAAAUUUAUGAUCCUACCAAAGAGAGUAAUAUUUAUUAGAGGAAGCUCAACAUGAUAAAGGCGAAGAGAUUUUAUGCUAACACUUAAUCAGUUCCACAAAGCUUUGUUGCCUAUUUGAGCUCCACAGAAUUCAAGGAUCAAAGAAGACUAGCAGACGGAGCACAUCCUAAUCGCUGUCAGGGUGCUGCCGACAUUCAAAUACACGUCCACCACCUUCUGGCUACAUUAGAAGAAAUUACGUCAAAAUCCAGCUUGGGGGAGAGCACCCCCAUUUAUCCAUCUAAGUGUUUCUACUCAUGUUUAUACUUUACUCAAAUAAUAAAAAGAUGCAUAAUCAUAAAAAACCCAAAUAAAGAUUUUAUGCUUAUAUAUAUAUCUUUUCUUAGUUUGCUAAAUAAAUAAAUAAAUAAAGUUUGCUAUGAACCCUCAUGAUAAGCUCUCACAUGGAAAUGAUGAAUAGUUGCUCUGCUAUGACUAGUUCUCAAAAGUGAAAUCUCUCUCAAGUUUAGGUAUGACUGUUAUGAAUUAAGAUUUGCUCUAAACCUGAACUUAUGGGAAGAGUGCUUGAUCUAAAGUCUAAGUCGUUAACGGAUAUGAUAUGGAAAGGUUGAGCUGCUGUUUAUCUGUUCCUAGAGAUGCUAGAAUUCUGGAGAAUUUUAUCUUAAAAAAAUCUUUAAAAAUUUGCAUGAUGAGUUCCUGUAUGAUGAGAGUUUAAAAUCCUACCACAGCCAUAUAGACAUGCUUAUUAGACUAUGAACCAUACAUUUACUUUUUACUGCUUAUGAGCAUUGAGUCUGGUCAAGCUGUGUAGACCCUUAGGAGCUUGUCAUGCGGUUAAAAUCAAGAUUUACUUGCACGUUCACUCAUACAUGCUACUUCUACUCCGGAAGUACGCAUCCACAUACAUCCACUCAAUUCCAUCUCCAGAUUUAUCCAAAAUUAUUCUACUCCUAUCCAGGAGAGAAUAGCCAAAAACAUUAUCCUAUCUCUGUUAUUUCCUGUGAAAUAAAUGCUCGAGAUAUUUUGGUUACUACCACUUGCUACAUUAAUCCAGGAGGGUGAGUGCUCGGAAAAAAGUGAAUACGAGGAAAUAAAAAGGGGCAAGUGCCCGGAACCUCGAAGAAAAGAAAAAGUGAGACGAGAGGUAAAAAUGGAUAAGUGUCCGACAGUAGAAUUAGGGGUACAAGAUACCCACCUAAAAGAAAAGAAAAAAAAAGAAAAGAGAAAAUAUAGAGCAUCUCAUUCCCCUCAAAAAGCUUCAAAGUGCAAGAAAGGUAUGUAUCCCCUCAAAAGAGCAAAAGUAGAAUUAGACUUUCACCAUUGUUUUCACCAUUAUCACCAUCAUCACCAUACACCAUUCAUUCGCCACACAUGCACAUCUUGAUUUGACUUAUUGACUUGUUUCUCUGGAUCCAUGGUUUGAUUAUGCAAUAAAUGUCUUGUAAGUAUGUAUUAGCUGUCUCCCACCUAUGAGCUCCAAAUAUCAAAACCUUGUUAGAGUAGGGUGAGAGAGAAGGCAAUCUCAUUAUGCCUCAUACCACAAAUACCACAUACUUUGAGAGAAGGCAUAUAUCAUCACUGCCUUGGUAAGGAUCCAGAAAUACCACAAAAGAGAGACUAGAGAGAGUCAUUUAGGAAUCUCUGAGAUUUAUUUGAAAAUCUGCAAAAACUCCAGAGCUAUAGUUGAUCAAAGAACAAGAGACAUGGUGCUUGACUUGACUUUUCUAUCUUUUAACUGCUCAAGACACAAGUGAUGGUUGCAAGGCCCAUGGUGGAAGGUAAUAUGAGUAAUUUUAAAUCUUAACAGUUUACCGUAACCCAGAGAUGAGACUUUGUUUGAACGCAUGUGUACCUUUAAGGCAUAAAACCACUGAAGAAACUCUUGAGUCCAUCCUUGCUCAGGGACGAGCAAGAGGUAAGCUUGGGGGAGUUGUUGACGGUCCUUAAGUACCAAAUAUAAUCAGCAAAUAAACAAAGAAAGGGAUCCAAAUACAACCAACACCUAAACAUAGGGUUUUAUCUGACAGAAUUCCACGAGUUUUGGUGUUUGUCUAUUUCUGCAGGGGGUUAUCAGGAAAUAUGGAGGAAAGGCCCACAUGUCGGGUUUACAUAGAGAUAUUAACGUGCCGCGCAAUUUUCUAUCAUCUAGAAGACUCCAGAAGCCACGGGAACGAACGGGAGGCCGAGCGGGCUCGGGGGCAAGGCGCCCGCCCAGCUACAGAGUCCAAUCAGGACUCAUUUCGUGGAUUAUGCUCCAUCAACCUAAAGGAUCAAGAAUAACCGUUCAAUCAAUAUCGGUUUGAUCCGAUGGCCCAGAUUCACUUGAGGGGACUAUAUAACCAGACCCCCUGGCCCCUAGAGGAGGCACCCCUUGAUCCCUAUUCAUUAUUCAUAGACAAAGCAAAAGCUAGGGUUUGGAGAUGAGAGCUCUCCUCUCAUAUCUAAACUAGAGUAGAUCUAGAUAGUAGCAAGAUGGAGAGUGAGGGAGGAUUGGAGGAGAGGCCGGCCUGUCGGUUCUUCCUCUGGUUGUACUUCACCAUGAUCAAGCUCUAAUUAAGCUUGCUCAUGGGAUGACUUUGGUAAUCUACUUCUAAUUCAUUAUGCAAUUACUAAUCAUGUAUGUUCUGGUUCACAACUCUUUUGAGUACAUCUAAUCUUAGGACCCUAUAGGUUAGAGUUGUAGUAUAGGUGUAAGCGUGGUGCUUAGACCUAGAUUACUUGUGAAUAUCCCCUGUCUAGCUGGAUCGUGUGGUAGGCCGCGUAGGUGACAGUUACGUUGGUCCCCUGUAGUCCACCUCCUGUUAGCAGGACGGGUAGGGUUUAUCGACCUAUGGAUAAGCAUCCUUUGUGGUGUAUUCUUAUCAUGUGGUUCGUCCCAGACAUAGACAUACCCCUUUGAAGUAGAGAAACCAUAGUUAUCCUCUCUAUUCUGCUACCACCGCCCAUAUACUAGAUUGCUCUACUCUCUAUUCCCAUAUUAUCACCCAUUGUUAUCUUAC
This 7104-nucleotide long non-coding RNA is filed under the name Sorghum bicolor (sorghum). RNAcentral's name for it is "long non-coding RNA (SBIC_LNC008644)". The record is from RNAcentral. Lineage: Eukaryota; Viridiplantae; Streptophyta; Magnoliopsida; Poales; Poaceae.